AUUGAACGCUGGCGGCAGGCCUAACACAUGCAAGUCGAGCGGUAGCACAGGAGAGCUUGCUCUCUGGGUGACGAGCGGCGGACGGGUGAGUAAUGUCUGGGAAACUGCCUGAUGGAGGGGGAUAACUACUGGAAACGGUAGCUAAUACCGCAUAACGUCGCAAGACCAAAGAAGGGGACCUUCGGGCCUCUUGCCAUCAGAUGUGCCCAGAUGGGAUUAGCUAGUAGGUGGGGUAACGGCUCACCUAGGCGACGAUCCCUAGCUGGUCUGAGGGGAUGACCAGCCACACUGGAACUGAGACACGGUCCAGACUCCUACGGGAGGCAGCAGUGGGGAAUAUUGCACAAUGGGCGCAAGCCUGAUGCAGCCAUGCCGCGUGUAUGAAGAAGGCCUUCGGGUUGUAAAGUACUUUCAGCGGGGAGGAAGGUGUUGAGGUUAAUAACCUCAGCAAUUGACGUUACCCGCAGAAGAAGCACCGGCUAACUCCGUGCCAGCCGCCGCCGUAA
RNAcentral lists this ribosomal RNA (506 nucleotides) under uncultured bacterium. RNAcentral describes it as "partial 16S ribosomal RNA". It matches the Rfam family "Bacterial small subunit ribosomal RNA", at positions 30 to 523 of the family's 1533-position model. The record is from RNAcentral.